RNAcentral lists this ribosomal RNA (549 nucleotides) under Geotrichum candidum. RNAcentral describes it as "eukaryotic LSU rRNA". It matches the Rfam family "Eukaryotic large subunit ribosomal RNA", at positions 69 to 661 of the family's 3401-position model. Lineage: Eukaryota; Fungi; Ascomycota; Dipodascomycetes; Dipodascales; Dipodascaceae. The record is from RNAcentral.
CAGGCGUUGCUUAGUACGGCGAGUGAGCGGCAAAAGCUCAAAUUUGAAAUCGGCCACCAGGUCGAGUUGUAAUUUGUAGAUUGUAUCUUGAGAGCGGAUUAAAGUCUGUUGGAACACAGCGCCUUAGAGGGUGACAGCCCCGUAAAAUCUAUUCUCAUUGUAAGAUACUUUCGAAGAGUCGAGUUGUUUGGGAAUGCAGCUCUAAGUGGGAGGUAAAUUCCUUCUAAAGCUAAAUAUUGACGAGAGACCGAUAGCGAACAAGUACUGUGAAGGAAAGAUGAAAAGCACUUUGAAAAGAGAGUGAAAAAGUACGUGAAAUUGUUAAAAGGGAAGGGUAUUGAAUCAGACUUGGUGCUGUUGUUCAACUGUGUUUCGGCAUAGUGUACUCAGCAGUACUAGGCCAAGGUGGGGUGUUUGGGAGUGAAAAAGAAGUAGGAACGUAACUCUUCGGAGUGUUAUAGCCUACUUUCAUAGCUCCUCAGGCGCCUCAGGACUGCGCUUCGGCAAGGACCUUGGCAUAAUGAUUCUAUACCGCCCGUCUUGAACCCA